GCCGGUCUGGCGUAGGUGGUCCGCGCGCCUGUCUGAAGCACAGGAGGACUCGGUUCGAUUCCGGGGGCCGGCA
RNAcentral lists this transfer RNA (73 nucleotides) under Pyxidicoccus parkwayensis. Its description in RNAcentral is "Pyxidicoccus sp. SCPEA002 tRNA-Phe". It matches the Rfam family "tRNA". From Rfam's summary of the family: Transfer RNA (tRNA) molecules are approximately 80 nucleotides in length. Their secondary structure includes four short double-helical elements and three loops (D, anti-codon, and T loops). The record is from RNAcentral. RNAcentral also lists the same sequence under 1 other name. Lineage: Bacteria; Pseudomonadati; Myxococcota; Myxococcia; Myxococcales; Myxococcaceae.